Molecule: long non-coding RNA, 2578 nt
Filed under: Homo sapiens (human)
Lineage: Eukaryota; Metazoa; Chordata; Mammalia; Primates; Hominidae
Description: HSALNT0293898
Source: RNAcentral
UUCCUCUCUGGUUCCUUCCUCACAGGAACCCCCCUCCCCAGUGCACACACAGCUGCUGUGGGGCACUGCUUUUGCCUCCUCUUGUGUGGUAACCAUUUGGAACUGCUUUUAAUGGUGCUGUCGACAGUACUGAGGUUUCCAAAUGGUAAGAAUAAUUUCCAGAUAGUAACACAGUCAAGCAUAAGGAGACACACAAGAAUUGGCCUAGGUGUCUGCAAAGAGGGAGAGAGCACCAAAGGUUCUGAUGGGGGAAACACAAACUAAAUAUGAAUCAUAAAAGCUAUGCUUACCAGCCCAGGGCUAAGAACUUUGUGUGCAUCAUCUGAGUUAAUCCUUUCAGCAACCUAGAGAGGUGGGGGUUAUUAAGCCCUUUUUAUAGACGAGAAAAUGAAAGCACAAAAAGGCAGAGUAACCAGCCAAGUUCACAGAGCUGGGAUGUGGAGCUCCCUAAACUGGCCUCCCUGACUCCACUGCCCACUUCAUCUCCCAGUGUGAACCCUUGUUCCUCAGAGUGAGUGGGAGAGUUUGGGGUUGAUUGCUUGAGCGUGGUGUGGAAUGGCACAGUGAAUCUUAAGAGAAGCAAGCAAGCUGGGUUAGGUAAACUUAGCCCAGUGCCUGGCACUUGCUAGGCAUUCCAUAGAUAUUUGAGAUUUGGACUUUUGAACAGAGUUUCAGACAUAGGGUCAGAGUGUGUGGGGGUCUCAAGCAGGUCAGGAACCACAGUCAAGCCUCUACAUACACUUGAAUUUUCCCCAUGGCAGGAACCCACAUUGAAGGUUCACAGGUGUGUCCUAGCGCCGUCCUGGGGCUGUGGAGCAGCUGCCUCUCCAGUGCCCGGGGUUUGCCAUAAAUGCCGAAUCUCAGCCCCACCCUAAGGCACUGACUCAGAACCCACAUUUUAACAAGCCUCCCAGUGACCUGUGUGAGAGGCACUGCUCCAACUCAACAACCCUCCUGCAAGGGAGCAAGCCAGCAGUCAUCCUUCUACCCAGUACAGGGGAAAUUUCUUUUUCCUGUACUAGGCUUAGGGAAUAGCACUUUGGGGGGCUAACCCCUGGUGCUGCCCUAACCUCUUCCUCACAAAACCUUUCAUACAGCUGUGAGAGGCAAACUUCUCAGUUGUCAGCAUUUCCAGGAAGAAAGAACCCCUUGAGUGAUCUCCAUGUGACCUCGUCUGUCUCAGGUUCAUGAACAUGAAGGUGAGAGCAGCUCUUCCUCACAGCAUGACCAGGCAGUGACAAACACGCCACAUGGAAGGAAAUGAGUGAACAAUCCUCGCAUAUUCUGAACUCCGGGAUCCUGAAAUGCCCUGCAUGAAUCAUCAAGGGACAAAAAGAGGAGACUUUCCAGGGACUGACGCCCUCCCAGCCACCGUGGGAUCCCGGCUACUGUGACUGAGCCCAGUCAUGACUCCAGAGUGCUUCACAUCACAUCAUUCUUUCUCAGCAUCCAAAAUAUGAAGGAACUGAACCUCAGAGAGAAGAGAUAACCCUGGUCGGCCAGUAAACUGUAGAGAUCCAAUUUGAAUUCUCCCCUCUGUCUGGCUCCGACACAUGGGGUUUUCUUAACUCACACUGUGUCACCUGCAGAGUGUUUCCCUUCGGGGGAGAGAAACCCAAAAUAGUGAAAACGAACAGAAAAAGUUUGAAGAGUUCUGCUUCGGCACUUGAAGCCAAUCUCCCUACAGUCUUCUUCCUGUUCAUGCUUCCAAGAUGCUAUCAGGGAGGCUGGGCGCUGGGGACAUUUACACUCCUUGCCUCCCCAACCCCAACCUCGAGGAUUUCUGUAGGGGUGAAAUCACCUCAUUAAAGCUGUACCUUGUUGCGGGGGCGGGGGUGGAUGGGCAGAAGAACUCAUGAGGUGAUCAUAUACCGGCCUCAGUGAUUCUCUCCUCCUCCCGGCCCCAUGUCUUGUUUUUAAACUCCAGCAAGGAAGAAUCUUCUUUCCCUCCAGCCAGCCUUUCAACCCACUGCUCAAACAAAGCAUUUUCUCUCAGAGGAUGAUUGCCAAGACCCACAGUUUAGUUCAUGUGGGAGUGGAGAGGGGCCAUAAAUAAUAAUAGCCAAGUUUACUGAGUGCUUAUUAUGUAAUAGCCAAGCACUGUUCCAGAGACAUUACAUAUAGACCCAUUUCACACACACAGGUGCACACACACACACACACAUACACACAGUACAAAUGAGGAAACAGACCCAGAGAGGUUGCCCGCCAUUUGCCAGCUCUUAUGAAGGGACUUGGACAGCCUGGCUCCCAGAUGCUGCCCUGCCUCUCAAAGAUCAUCUCCCCUGGCUACCCCACCCCAUUUUACAGGUAAGGCAAUGAGCCCAGGGAGGUGAGGGACUUGCCUGGCCAGUCAAGGGCAGAGCUAGUCAAGUUGUCAGAUCUUCUGACCAAAAAACCCAAGGCUUUUUCCUCCACCCUGGGGGCUCAGCACACCCAAGACUCCAGGAGUAUGCCAAUUGCACUUCACCCAGUUCAAAGUUUAGAUCCCCCCUAAUGCUUUAAACUAGAAAAUUCUUUUUUUUUCUUUUGAGACAGGGUCUAGCCUUGUUGCCCACGUUGGAGUGCAGUGGUGUAA